RNAcentral lists this ribosomal RNA (255 nucleotides) under uncultured archaeon. Its description in RNAcentral is "partial 16S ribosomal RNA". It matches the Rfam family "Bacterial small subunit ribosomal RNA", at positions 521 to 776 of the family's 1533-position model. The record is from RNAcentral.
UAAUACGUAGGGGGCAAGCGUUAUCCGGAAUCAUUGGGCGUAAAGGGUGCGUAGGCGGCCCUAUAGGUCAGAGGUCAAAGGCUACGGCUCAACCGUAGUAAGCCUUUGAAACUGUAGGGCUUGAGUGCAGGAGAGGAGAGUGGAAUUCCUAGUGUAGCGGUGAAAUGCGUAGAUAUUAGGAGGAACACCAGUGGCGAAGGCGACUCUCUGGACUGCAACUGACGCUGAGGCACGAAAGCGUGGGGAGCGAACAGG